Molecule: ribosomal RNA, 490 nt
Filed under: uncultured bacterium
Lineage: Bacteria
Description: partial 16S ribosomal RNA
Rfam family: Bacterial small subunit ribosomal RNA
Source: RNAcentral
AUUGAACGCUGGCGGCAGGCCUAACACAUGCAAGUCGAACGGUAACAGGAAGAAGCUUGCUUCUUUGCUGACGAGUGGCGGACGGGUGAGCAAUGUCUGGGAAACUGCCUGAUGGAGGGGGAUAACUACUGGAAACGGUAGCUAAUACCGCAUAACGUCGCAAGACCAAAGAGGGGGACCUUCGGGCCUCUUGCCAUCCGAUGUGCCCAGAUGGGAUUAGCUAGUAGGUGGGGUAACGGCUCACCUAGGCGACGAUCCCUAGCUGGUCUGAGAGGAUGACCAGCUACACUGGAACUGAGACAGGGUCCAGACUCCUACGGGAGGCCGCAGUGGGGAAUAUUGCGCAAUGGGGGCAAGCCUGAUGCAGCAAUGCCGCGUGUAGGAAGAAGGCCUUCGGGUUGGAAAGUACUUUCGGCGGGGGGGAAGGGAGUAAAGUUAAGCCCUUUGCUCAUUGACGUUACCCGCAGAAGAAGCACCGGCUAACUCCGUG